GCUACGGGAGGCAGCAGUGAGGAAUAUUGGUCAAUGGGCGAGAUCCUGAACCAGCCAAGCCGCGUGAGGGAAGACGGCCCUAUGGGUUGUAAACCUCUUUUGUCGAAGAAUAAAACCCGGGACGUGUCCCGGAUUGCAUGUAUCCGAAGAAAAAGCAUCGGCUAACUCCGUGCCAGCAGCCGCGGUAAUACGGAGGAUGCGAGCGUUAUCCGGAUUUAUGGGGUUUAAAGGGUGCGUAGGCGGUCCGUUAAGUCAGAGGGUAAAUUGCGGGGAUAAACCUCGUCGAGCCGGUGAAACUGGCAGACUUGAGUUGGCGAGAGGUACGCGGAAUGCGCGGUGUAGCGGUGAAAUGCAUAGAUAUCGCGAAGAACUCCGAUUGCGAAGGCAGCGUACCGGAGCCAGACUGACGCUGAGGCACGAAAGCGUGGGGAUCGAACAGGAUUAGAUACCCGAGUAGUC
RNAcentral lists this ribosomal RNA (459 nucleotides) under uncultured bacterium. Its description in RNAcentral is "partial 16S ribosomal RNA". It matches the Rfam family "Bacterial small subunit ribosomal RNA", at positions 338 to 795 of the family's 1533-position model. The record is from RNAcentral.